AAUGGCGGUACUCUUCUGAUUCACUUGUCUACUGAUCAAGUUUACGAAGGGACCAAAUCCUUCUACAAGGAAGAUGAUGAGACCCUUCCUGUGAAUGUUUAUGGAAGAUCAAAGGUAGCAGCAGAGCAAUUUAUAUCUGCAAAUUACUCAAAUUUUGCAAUUUUGAGGAGCAGUAUUAUUUAUGGACCUCAGACUGUCUCCCCUGUCCCAAAAUCACUUCCAGUUCAGUGGAUGGAUAGUGUUCUUGCAAAGGGAGAAGCCAUGGAUUUUUUUCACGAUGAAUUCCG
Molecule: unclassified non-coding RNA, 287 nt
Filed under: Hevea brasiliensis (rubber tree)
Lineage: Eukaryota; Viridiplantae; Streptophyta; Magnoliopsida; Malpighiales; Euphorbiaceae
Source: RNAcentral